This 521-nucleotide unclassified non-coding RNA is filed under the name Hevea brasiliensis (rubber tree). Lineage: Eukaryota; Viridiplantae; Streptophyta; Magnoliopsida; Malpighiales; Euphorbiaceae. The record is from RNAcentral.
CUCCUUGCUCUCACCACUGUAUUCCCUAGUAUGUGCACCACCCCGGCAUCCCUGCAAUUAUUCAAAAAUUGUAACUCCUCAACCUCCAUUUGGCUGCUUGUUUGACCUGAUGACCUAAUUGUGUAAUUUGCAUUUACAGGUGAUUUAACUGGCACGAUCGAGUCAACAGAUGAAAUUAUGGAAUCUACUGCAGCAGAUGUUGUAUUUCCAUUAUUCAACAGGGCAUCUCUUGAUUGCUCAAUUCGCUGACUGUAUAAACUAUACUCAUCGGAGUCUGAACACCCUUCCAUCAUAGACUCGAGCCGGACAAACAAGAGGAGGUUAUCAAAGAGUUUCUUCUCAAAAUCCUCAUCUUUCUUAUGUAGGUCUUUAUAGCCAUACCUUGAAACACAACGGAACAUGUGAAAAUUCUUUGGUCCAAUACGCUUGACCAGGAAUCUCUCUUCUUCAGGAACUGUGUAGACAGGAAGAUACUUUACGCAUACAAAUACGACAACAGAAUGGAUAGCAGGUAGAUUUGU